Molecule: long non-coding RNA, 345 nt
Filed under: Fukomys damarensis (Damara mole-rat)
Lineage: Eukaryota; Metazoa; Chordata; Mammalia; Rodentia; Bathyergidae
Description: lncRNA (ENSFDAG00000025066.1)
Source: RNAcentral
CGCCUCUGCAGCGCUCCGGAACCUCGCGCUGGGUCGAAUCCAGGUGCUGGCCUCUCUCUGUCGCUCAGCGCUGCAUCUCACGGUGGAACCUGAAGUCAUGCACCGAAGCUGUUUCCCAAGCACAUUAAAGUGUGACCGAGUUAAACAUCCAGAUCUCAGCUGUGUUGACUUACAGCCAACUUGAGUUACAAGCUUCCCUCAGGAACUGAUCAAGUUGUAAGAAAAGGGUCCACCAUAGAACGUAAGUCCAUAAUUUCAUGGAUAUUACUGCUACAUUAAAUCUUUACAGUAAGAAUAUGAGUUGAUUUAAAUAAAAAUAGCCAGUAAAUAUUAGUACAGGUGACA